CUGGCGGCGUGCCUAACACAUGCAAGUCGAACGAGAAAGCGGGGGCAACUCCGCAAGUAAAGUGGCGACCGGGUGAGUAACACGUGACUAACCUGCCCUCGAGCGGGGGAUAACCCCGGGAAACCGGGGCUAAUACCGCAUAACGUCCUCGAUACGAAAGUAUUGAGGAUCAAAGGAGCAAUCCACUUGAGGAGGGGGUCGCGGCCGAUUAGCUAGUUGGCGGGGUAAUGGCCCACCAAGGCUGAGAUCGGUAGCCGGCCUGAGAGGGCGCACGGCCACACUGGAACUGAAACACGGUCCAGACUCCUACGGGAGGCAGCAGUGGGGAAUUUUGCGCAAUGGGGGGAACCCUGACGCAGCAACGCCGCGUGGAGGAUGAAGUCCCUUGGGACGUAAACUCCUUUCGACCGGGAAGAUAAUGACGGUACCGGAAGAAGAAGCACCGGCUAACUCUGUGCCAGCAGCCGCGGUAAUACAGAGGGUGCGAGCGUUGUUCGGAAUUAUUGGGCGUAAAGGGCGCGUAGGCGGUGCGGUAAGUCACCUGUGAAAUCUCCCGGCUUAACUGGGAGCUUGCAGGCGAAACUACCGUGCUGGAGUGUGGGAGAGGUGCGUGGAAUUCCCGGUGUAGCGGUGAAAUGCGUA
Molecule: ribosomal RNA, 642 nt
Filed under: uncultured bacterium
Lineage: Bacteria
Description: bacterial SSU rRNA
Rfam family: Bacterial small subunit ribosomal RNA
Source: RNAcentral